RNAcentral lists this ribosomal RNA (253 nucleotides) under uncultured bacterium. RNAcentral describes it as "partial 16S ribosomal RNA". It matches the Rfam family "Bacterial small subunit ribosomal RNA", at positions 524 to 776 of the family's 1533-position model. The record is from RNAcentral.
GACGGAGGGUGCAAGCGUUGUUCGGAAUCACUGGGCGUAAAGCGCGUGUAGGCUGUUCGAUAAGUCGAGUGUGAAAGCCCGAGGCUCAACCUCGGAAGUGCAUUCGAAACUGUCGGGCUUGAGUACGGGAGAGGGAAGUGGAAUUCCUGGUGUAGAGGUGAAAUUCGUAGAUAUCAGGAGGAACACCGGUGGCGAAGGCGGCUUCCUGGACCGAUACUGACGCUGAGACGCGAAAGCGUGGGGAGCAAACAGG